Molecule: ribosomal RNA, 490 nt
Filed under: uncultured bacterium
Lineage: Bacteria
Description: partial 16S ribosomal RNA
Rfam family: Bacterial small subunit ribosomal RNA
Source: RNAcentral
AUUGAACGCUGGCGGCAGGCCUAACACAUGCAAGUCGAACGGUAACAGGAAGCAGCUUGCUGCUUCGCUGACGAGUGGCGGACGGGUGAGAAAUGUCUGGGAAGCUGCCUGCUUGGGGGGGAUAACUACUGGAAACGGUAACUAAUACCUCAUAAUUUCUCCAGACCAAAGGGGGGUGCCUUCGUUCCUCUUGCCGUGGGGUGUGCCCGGGUGGGAUUCGAUUGUUGGUGGGGUAACGUCUCACCAAGGCGACGAUCCCUAGAUGGUGUGAGGGGAUGCCCAGCCACACUGGAACUGAGACACGGUCCAGGCGACUGCGGGAGGCAGCAGUGUGGAAUAUUGGACAGAGGGCGGAAGCCUGAUGCAGCCAUGCCGCGUGUAUGGAGAAGGCCUUCCGGGCGUAAAGUACUUUCAGCGGGGAUGAAGCGAGUAAGGUUAAGACCAUUGCUCAUUGACGGUAACCGGAGAAGAAGCACCGGCUAACUACGUG